RNAcentral lists this ribosomal RNA (492 nucleotides) under uncultured bacterium. Its description in RNAcentral is "partial 16S ribosomal RNA". It matches the Rfam family "Bacterial small subunit ribosomal RNA", at positions 29 to 507 of the family's 1533-position model. The record is from RNAcentral.
AGUGAACGCUGGCGGUAGGCCUAACACAUACGAGUCGAACGGCAGCACAGUAAGAGCUUGCUCUUACGGGUGGCGAGUGGCGGACGGGUGAGGAAUACAUCGGAAUCUACUUUUUCGUGGGGGAUAACGUAGGGAAACUUACGCUAAUACCGCAUACGACCUACGGGUGAAAGAAGGGGAUCUUCGGACCUUGCGCGAUUGAAUGAGCCGAUGUCGGAUUAGCUAGUUGGCGGGGUAAAGGCCCACCAAGGCGACGAUCCGUAGCUGGUCUGAGAGGAUGAUCAGCCACACUGGAACUGAGACACGGUCCAGACUCCUACGGGAGGCAGCAGUGGGGAAUAUUGGACAAUGGGCGCAAGCCUGAUCCAGCCAUACCGCGUGGGUGAAGAAGGCCUUCGGGUUGUAAAGCCCUUUUGUUGGGAAAGAAAAGCAGCAGGUUAAUACCCCGCUGUUCUGACGGUACCCAAAGAAUAAGCACCGGCUAACUUCGUG